CCUACGGGAGGCAGCAGUGGGGAAUCUUGCGCAAUGGGCGAAAGCCUGGCGCAGCCAUGCCGCGUGAAUGAUGAAGGUCUUAGGAUUGUAAAAUCUUUCACCGGGGACGAUAAUGACGGUACCCGGAGAAGAAGCCCCGGCUAACUUCGUGCCAGCAGCCGCGGUAAUACGAAGGGGGCUAGCGUUGCUCGGAAUUACUGGGCGUAAAGGGAGCGUAGGCGGAUAGUUUAGUCAGAGGUGAAAGCCCAGGGCUCAACCUUGGAAUUGCCUUUGAUACUGGCUAUCUUGAGUACGGAAGAGGUAUGUGGAACUCCGAGUGUAGAGGUGAAAUUCGUAGAUAUUCGGAAGAACACCAGUGGCGAAGGCGACAUACUGGUCCGUUACUGACGCUGAGGCUCGAAAGCGUGGGGUAGCAAACAGGAUUAGAUACCCUGGUAGUCCACGCUGUAAACGAUGAGUGCUAGUUGUCGGCAUNNANNCAUGUCGGUGACGCGAGCUACGACAUAAGUACACUCCGCCGUCGGGUAGGUACGGUACGGCGACGAAUUAAACUUAACGAACGAAGUUAGUACGGCGUGAGACGUGCCGACGGACGACGACGAGGGAGGUAGG
This 612-nucleotide ribosomal RNA is filed under the name uncultured bacterium. RNAcentral's name for it is "bacterial SSU rRNA". The stretch from base 1 to 519 matches the Rfam family "Bacterial small subunit ribosomal RNA", at positions 338 to 873 of the family's 1533-position model. The record is from RNAcentral.